RNAcentral lists this long non-coding RNA (28808 nucleotides) under Brachypodium distachyon (stiff brome). RNAcentral's name for it is "long non-coding RNA (BDIS_LNC000271)". Lineage: Eukaryota; Viridiplantae; Streptophyta; Magnoliopsida; Poales; Poaceae. The record is from RNAcentral.
AAGAAAGCCGUACGUUAUGUCCAGCGAAAACCGGCACCCUCUUUCGAUUGAAAAGAGGAGCCGUUAUUACCCGUUGCAACGUCUAAUUUCCAGAGAAAUAAGAAGAAAAUGAAAGAAAACGGGUUUGUUUUCCUUCUUGUUUUUAGAGGAACGACCCAAGAUUUAUUUAGGUUGAAAUAUUUACAGGGAUACAUAUAUCUGCAGGUGGGAAAUCCAUCCAAACAUAUCGCCCAGCCGCAAAGGUUGUGGCUAGUCGAGUCAAUCUAUGUGUUUCCCCAUUUGCUUCGUGUCGCUCCUGACUAAAAGUGGUCACCGAGAACUGUACCCUCAAGGAUCGUUGCAUAUGGACCGAAAAACUUCUCCUCUUGGAUCUCAACGGGUUUGUUUUCCUUUCAGUAGCUUUUGUGGGCCGAGUGUAGCGGGCGAAACAUGGGACUGAUUUGCCCGGCCCAACUGUUGGAUGCAGCCCAAUCUGUCCAAAGUCCAAAUUGACGGGUAAAUUGGGCUGCAUCUAGAGACAGACGGGUUCUCUUUCUCCCUAGUCGGUCCGUCUCGACUCGUGUCUUCCACCUCACGUGUUCUUCUUCUCUCCUCGCCCGUGGCUCCUCCCCCGCUGCUCCUCGCCCGCCGCCUCGCCGGACCGAUGUCAAGCCGGAGAGAGAUCGGGGAGUCGUCUGGCAGCAAGGUGAUUUUCUUUCGCUCCUCCUCCUCCUCCUCCUCCUCCUUGUGCUUCGCGAGUAACGAAAGUGAAACUGCGGUGGAGGAAGAGCUCUGCAGACGGCGAGCGGCGGCCGGGGCGGUGGAGGGACGGCGGAGGGAGGUGCGGCGUACGGGGUAGCGGAGGGACGGACCGGGAUCCGGUGCCCUGCCAGAGCCAGGGCACGGCAUGCCUUGCCCUCUUGUAUCCACCGUCGACAUCGACAUAACCCUCCGCUUCACUCUGACGGGCCCUCCGCUUCGCUCCACUCUUCUUAGUCUUCUUCCCGAGCGAUGUGGUCGGCGAUGGCAUGACAGUCGGCGAGCCGAAGAGGUCGAGCGUGCGGGAGGUCGCCGACGUCGCCCCGCCGGCAUCCACGCAAAAAAAAAAGACGUCGCCCCGCCGGCAUCCGUGCCGGCAUGCCCGUGUCCUCCUCCACCUUGUAUUUUUUCCUCUAGUUGCUCCGCGCGAGGCCGCACCAUGCCUGGCUCCCGGUUGUGCCCGCACCCAGGUCUGCUUCCUUCUCCAUGAGACGCCGCACCGCCGCAAUCAGUGCCUGGCACCGCGUUUCCACAUCAAUCUCAACGUUCUCAUUGAAUCAUCGCUGGAUGGAGUGUGACAACUAGCGACCCCGGACCUAGAGAGAAAGGGGAUCGCAUAGAUUAAGGGGAAAUUGAGGUGAGAAUCAGACGAAGGGGAUGAGAGUUCAGCAAGAUAGGUGGGGAAUUCAGAUUUCAUUCAUCACACAUAGUAUCCACCCAAGCACCCAUCAGCCUACAGGUCUUGAAACGAGCCAUAGCUCUUACAGGUAGGGACACUUGCGCAUACACCAGGUUUACAAGCACAGAGAAGCCCUUUCACUGACCGUGGAAUUCAUCAGCAUCAAGUCCUUGGACUUGAUUAUCGGUGCACGCCGAACUCAAGGCGCGAGGCGUGCCACUUGCCCCUCCUGGAGAAGAAGCUACCUCCCAGAUUAGCGCUUGAGGAAAACGAGUUUGCAUCACAUAAUAAUCCUCCCAGGUAGCGCAAUCAUCUGGUAGAGUGGACCACUUAACCAAGAUCUGAGGAACGGCCGCAAUGCCCUUCUUGACCAUGCGAUGAUGAAGAAUUUCCUAUGGCAGAGGAGCACCUUGUGCCAAGUCUGCAGAGGAGGGCAGGUGGGAGAAUACAUGAGAAUAGUUGGCAGUAAAAGGUUUCAAUUGAGAUACGUGAAACACUAGGUGAAUCGCCGCACCCGCAGACAGCUGUAAACGAUAGGCCAUGGCACCAACCUUGUCCAGCACCUGGAAGGGCCCAAAAUACUUGAAGGCGAGCUUGGGACAGGGACGACUCACUACUGAAGAUUGUGUAUAUGGCUAGAGCUUGAGGAGCACUGAAUCUCCAACAGAAAAGGUGUGUUCAGAGCGAUUUUGUCAGCCUUCAACUUCAUGCGAUUCUGGGCUUGGAGCAACUGCCGGCGGAGCAAGUCAGUGCGAGCUUGUAACUCUGUUGCAAGAUCAACAGCAGGGGAAUCAUCGGACAGAGUCAAACUGGGCAUUGCACCCUAAUUUGGCUCAACUCCAUACAAGGCUUUGAAGGGUGAGCACUUGAUCGAAGAGUGAAAUGUGGAGUUGUACCAAGAUUCUGCCAUAGGCAGCCAGCGACGCCUUCGCUUGGGACUAUCAUGAAUAGCACAACGCAAAUACUAUUCCAAGCAUUGGUUAACUCGUUCCGUCUGACCGUCUGUCUGCGGGUGGUACGCGGUACUGUAGUGCAGCUUCGAGCCCACAUUAGAAAAUAACUCCCGCCAAAAGUUGCUUGUGAAAACUCGAUCACGGUCAGAGACAAUGCUUGAAGGAACACCAUGCAAUUUUACCACAUUGUCGAGAAAUGACUGGGCGACAUGAACUACUGUAAAGGGAUGGCGUAGGGGAAUGAAGUGGCUGUACUUGUUAGACUAUCGAGAACCACCAAAAUCACAUCAAAACCUUCAGAGACCGGCAAUCCUUAUAUGAAAUCCAUCGUGACGUCCAACCAAGCACCACGGGGAACGGGUAGAGGUUGGAGGAGGCCCGCCGGCUUCGAGUGUUCAUGCUUAGAAUGCUGACAAAUCGCACAUUGCUUGACGAAAUCCUCCACACCAGUUUUAAGUCCCGAACAAAAGUAUAGCUUCUUGACCCGCUGAUAAGUGGCGUGGAUCCCAGAGUGUCCUCCAACAGCGUGUCCUCCAACAAUGCUAUCAUGCAAGGCACUGUUUAAAUUGGUCUUUACUCUUUAAGGCAGCAUUAUCCCCAAUCCACAUCCGCCCUUUGUAUUUAAUCAAGCCAUGCUCCAAGGAAAACCCAGCAGCAUCUGGAGAAGCAAUCGCCAACUGAGUGAGUAAGGACUGUGCUGUGAUGUCCGUCUCAUAUGAAUUCAGUACCUCUUGCACCCAUGUUGGGCGACAAACAGAGAGUGCUUGUGUCUCCAGCAAAUGACCGACCCUGGAUAACGCAUCUGCAGCCGAGUUGUCGAUGCGUCGCUUGUACCGAAACGUAAAUUGCAAGCCCAUUAAUUUAGACAUGGCCUUCUUUUGUAACUCGGUUGUCAACUGGUGAUCUCCCGAAGAGCAUAGGCUGCGAUGAUCAGUCACAAUCUCAAUGGGUCCUUGCUGUAAAUACAGUCGCCACUUGUCAAUUGCCAACAUCACAGCCAAGAACUCCUUCUCGUAAAUCGAGAGCUUGUUGUUUUUCACCCCAAGUGCUUUGCUCAGAUAGGCCACGGGGUGCCCUUGUUGCAUCAGUACCGCCCCCACACCAGUAUCACAAGCGUCGGUUUCGAUCUGAAAAGGAAGAGCAAAAUCCGAUAGGGCGAGAACAGGGGUCUGAACCAUAGCAGUUUUUAAGAGCUCAAAAGCAGUUUGCGCCUCGGCUGUCCAAUUGAAUCCUUUCUUCUUUAACAGUGCUGUCAACGGUUUUGCCAAUAUCCCAUAGCGAUGAACAAACUUGCGAUAGUAACCGGUGAGAAUCAGACGAAGGGGAUGAGAGUUCAGAGAGAUAGGUGGGGAAUUCAGAUUUCAUUCAUCAGGCAUAGUAUCCACCCAGCAGCCUACAGGUCUUAAAACGAGCCAUAGCUCUUACAGGUAGGGACACUGACGCAUACACCAGGUCCAACUCAAGACACGAGACGUAACAUGGAGCAGAGGGGCUCGUCGAUGCUCUUUCCUGCGGAGGCAGCGGCUAGUGCCCUUUCACGCGGCAGCGGCGGCCGACGAAGCAGUAUAUGCUGUUUCCCUCCCGUUCUUCUGUGAGGCUGUAACAUCCCAAAUUUUCAAAACCCUUCAUAUGCAUUGCAUUUCAUAAGCAUCAUGCCACCCUUGCAUUUAAUCACAUUCAAAACCCUAAAGUUUAACCCAGAAACCCCUUUAACAAAAGUGCUUUUAUUUGAAUCUGGCUCUUUUCUUGCUUUUGGUUAAUUGCAUUUUGACCCAUGAGGGUUUUGGCAUAAAAAGGGGUUUAAUGCAUUUAUAAGGCUACCCCAUAUUUUGGUGUUUGAUUUGAAUUUGAAAACACUAAAAUAUUUUAAUAGCUAAAAAGCCCUAAAUGCUAGUUUAUAGACAAAAAUAUAUUUAAAUAUUUUAUCUUGAGGGAAUUCUUGUCCCAACAGUUGAAUCAUAUGAAAAUAUGAUUUUACAAUUUUUAUUGCAUUUUAUUUGACUUGAUUUGGAACUUUGAAUCAAAAGAUUGAAUCCAAAACAGAAAAUAGAAAAAAUAAUAAUAAUAAAAGGGUAACGGACCGACCCGAACCGGGCCGGCCCACUUACCGAGCGCGCAGCCCAUCUCCUCACGCACGAGCUGCCGCUGUCACUGCCAUGCGGGCCCCGCCCGUCAGCUCCAUCCCCUUCCUCCAACUUCUCAACCGAAGAACCCGCGCAGGCCGAGUCCACCUCGCCCACGUUUCCACUCCGAUUCCUCCGCGCACACGAUCCCAUCCACGAAACCGAGUGCAUCAUUUUAAAGCCCUGAGCCCCUCUUCUUUUUCCCCCUCCUCUCUUGCUCGAACUCGCCGACAGGCUGCCGGAUUUCCACGUCACCGCACCGCCACCAUCGCCGCCGUUUUUCGCUUGCCGCCGCCGAACCCCGAGGAGGUAGCCGUCGACACCCCCUAUUCCUUCUCCUCUUCCUCUUGCGCAGCUUUUGACGUGGGUACUUUUUAUUUUGGAGCACCGGAGCUCGAGUUCGCCAUCUCGCCUGAAGCUCGCUGGAGCGCGAAGCCGCCGCCGCCCUUCCCGAGCACCAAGUGCUCACCUCUGUCCACGCUGAGGGAGACCGUCGCCGCCAAAACCUUCCUCGAGCCAAGCCGCACCGUUUCCCCUUCUUCCCCGAAGCCGAGGACCGCCGGAACGCCCGGGCCGCCACCGCCGAGCUCGCCGGAGAAGGGAACUCUAGUCGGAGGUGAGCCAAAUCGCGUCCCGUCCGUCCGAUCUCCAUCCUAGGGCUUAGAUAGAAUCACUUAAAUGAAGGGGUACGGAGAGAUCUAGGCCAUCCGAUCCUUUUAAGUUAAAUCCAAUGGCCCACGUUCUUUCUCUUAAUCGAACCGGUAUCGUCCUGUAAGAACGCGCCACGUGUCCCUUUUAAAUAAAACAUUUCCCCAGGCCGAAAAUUAAAAGGAAACUUUGCAAAAAAGCCCCUGAUUAUUCAAACUAUCAUAACUUUUAAACCGUUUGGCCAAAAAUUAUGAUCCGCACCUUUCUGGAAUCCUCACAAAGUGUAGAAUCUUUUGGCAUAGUUUAAUUUUAACUUUGAACAACUUUACCAGAAGCAAAUUACAGAAUGCUUAAUUAUGGUUUAUUAUUCAAAUGAAUUAUUUCAAACUAGUUUUGAGCAUGUUAGCUUGCUGAAAAAUUAUUUGAGUAUGCUCUCUGUCCAUUGGGACUAGAGGGGAAAUUAUUUUGUAAAUAUUUUUGCCACACAAAUUUUAAUCUUGCUCCAUGCAUUACAAAAAUCAAAUAAGCUUUUAAUUAAAUCCCAUCCUUGUUUCAUGCAUGGUAAUUACCUCUUUGUUAUUGUAUAAUAUGUCCAAAUAUUUUAUGAAGCUUUUCAAAACAAAAACUAAACAACUUACAUUUAGAAGUAACCUAAGUGUGCAUCAUCAUGGCAUAUGCAUCAUAGCACGUUUUUGUAUUGAAUGGCAUGUUUAUUGUGUGUGUGUGCUUUCUUUUAUGUUAGAUUGUGUAGAUUGUGAACCUUGUUGUUGCGAAGAGUGCGAGAACUACCACAACCUUGGACAAGACAAGUUCACUUUGAUCAUUUUCCAAAUAUUUUUACUAUGCACUAGUUGUUUUAUUAGAUGCAUUAGGAAUAUUACUCGUACCUCUAUGCUAGCUAUAAAUCCUAGGUAGUAUAGCUUACCCUUGCCAUUACCUUGCUACCAAAUUGCCAUCGAUUGUAGUUGAAUGCUAGGCUAUGGUAGUAUCGUGGGGGAAAUUACUACAUUAUGAUAUUGUUAUGCCUACGAAGAUAUGAAAUGUUUUAUUAGAGUAAGGCAAAACAAUUAAUUCAAUGAACCAUCCUGGGUGGGCUGCUUUGAGGAUUUUGAGGAUUAGCGGCGUCAGGUCCAUUUCUAUGGGUCCCUCUGAGUCGACUUCCCGUGGAUUUGGGAAGGGAUCGUCCAUGGACGUCUCUCCCAUGGAUUCGGGGAGAGCCUACGUUGCAACUGUGGAAUGCCACCUGGGGUAACCGAGACUGGACUAGUUUCCUAUUUAGCAGCUUCCAGUUCAACCACAAUGCUAUAUGGGCUCUGGCGAGACAAGAGUAAGUUGUAUGAACCUAGACCCGAGGAAUUGUAUUGAGGUAGCGUGCGUAGGGGGAGCGUGAUUCUCUCGUGGUUUAGGGAAUUACCUCUGAAAAUCUCGUUAUCGACGCCGUUGCUACUCUACCCUGAGGACAGCAAGGGAUUAACCCGUCGGUUUCUUGUGGGGAAUGUGUACAAACUCUCGAGAGCGUCAAAACUAAGUACUUAGCCGUGUCCCCGGUAAUGGACAAUUUUGAGCAACUAGAUGUGGAGCUGUAAGGAAAGUCUCACUCAUGCUAAUUUCCAAAUAAAAUGAAUGGUUUGAACUUGGGUUAGGAGCAUUGAUGUGUCUACUCAAUGUCCUUAGUUUAAUAGGAGCAUGGGUGUGUCUACCCCAUGUCCAAUAGUGAUAAAAUUUAUUUGAUUUAAAGAUAGGAUUAAACAACUAAGCUUUUAUGCAAAUAGCCUUGAACCCCACUUUGCCACGUUAUGCAUAUACUUGGUAGGUUCUGUUAUAACACCUAGUGAUCUUGCCAAUACAUUCAAUGUAUUGAACCAUCGUUUAAUGAUGCAGGAAGUUUCGAUGAAGAGCAAGAGUACGUUCUGCUUGUUUGGGUUACGGGCCUAUAUUCCAACACGCUCUCACCGUGGUGUUGAUGUAGCCCUUUUAUCUUCCGUUUUCCGCUGCUAAACAGUUGUUUAUUUUCAGCUAACCCAUGGGGUUAUGCGAGUUUGUAAGUACUUUAAAAUUCUGGAUGAUGCGUUGUACUAUUGAGACCUGUGUUCUAUGAUAUUACAUCUUGAAACUGUGUGCUAGUGAGUUCGAUCCAGGGACUAGCACUAAAGCACAGAAAUCGAACCCGUGUACGGGGGCAGUCGCUUCAAAGGCAGUCUCCGUUUUCCUCUUUUCCCCAUGCGUGCGCUCGUUUUGGGCUUGAAUCGCUGCUGGCCGUUCGAUUAAAACGAGCGGUAGAUAGUGGGGCGCAUGGCACACCGUGGUGUCUCUGCCAUAUGGUUUUGCAGUGGCAAGUUGAGGUUUCUUGCCUAUUCUAUUUUUUUUAGUUGAGAUGUGUACUAAUGAUUUUGUCUUAUGACUUGCCAGCAGAUACAGCUCAUACCGUUUGACUUAGACCUGAGAAAUCUUACCAAAGGUUAUCUGAAAUUAAUGUUGAAUAUUCUCAAAGCUUUACAAUCAGAAGUUGACCAUCAUUGGUCAAAACAACCUGCUCUCCAGAGACAACCCAGCAGAGUCGCGGGCAAACUCUACACCUCUAGAGGGGGUGUUUUUAGUUCGACUCAUACUUGAUGGAAGAUGAUAACACUUUUGUUUCGAGGGUCAAAUCUUUAUUUUCUGAGGUUACAAACCAAAGCUACACGUUUAUUCAUUAGUGGUGCUUCCUUUAACAUGCUCGGGAAAUUUGCCUAUAAUGAACAAUGACAAACACAAUCGGGUUUGCUAAUUAACUCUUUAUUCAUUAUCACAACAUUGGUACCGUCUAUCCUACUAGUAUAUAACCGUACUACUCAAUCAUGUUAGCUCAUUUCUUGGUGUGAUGGUUGUAUUGGUACACCUCAUGGGGUGGGGGUCAUUCCUAUUUAUACUGCUUAUACAAGACUGUUGGAUUAUUGCCAACAGGCAACCAUCCAUACACUACACAUAUAAAUAUGUUUAUUCUAGAAUACUCUACACAAUUAUCUUUGUUCUAGAUUCUAAUUUUACCAUGAAGAGUUGUUCUAGUGUCUUCCAUGUUAAAUAAUAUCCCUUUUCAUGCAACCUCUCAAACCUUUUAGAAUAUUUCAAUGUUCUCAUAUUCGCUAUAAGGAUCCUUGUAAUAUCUUAAUCCUCCAAUAAUCCAAAGUAUUCUAGACACUUCUCUAAUUUUGAACACUCCCCCAAUUAUUCAAAGUUUUUUUAGAAUAUUCUCAAGUAUGCAUUACUAAUUCUCAACAAGAGGCAACCCAUAUCUCCGCAGGGAUGUCAGCAAUUGUAACGAUGUAUCAAGUGUUUUCAGCCGAGAUGAAAAUGAUGGACCAUGGAGAGCAGAUGAUCGUCAGCAUCCUGAUGAUAUUGGUACCAUCUCUACUAACCUCUUCUGGGAUUAGCCUCAUGGCUUCAACUAGUGACCUUGGCCUCCACUGUUUUGCAAGGCUUUGCUCGACUCUGUUCGUCAUGUCGUUUAUCAUUUUCAUGUUAGAGGCCAUAGGCUACCGAUGGGGGAUUGCAAUCGCUUGCUUAGCGGCAUUAUUUGGCAUGGUUUUCAUUUUGGUCUGUGGUGACCUUAUUCAAAGCCGCUGCAUAAUGUAUCUGGGAUCUGAUAAAGAAACCGGCCAGAAGGUUCACGAGCCGGUUGGCAAUUGGACAAACAGUACCAGCGAAACCAUUGGACAUGCCAUUGGAGAACCUAUUGUCGAGUUCUUUAUGAUCAUAUAUAUGUUACCUGAUUGGCGGGUGAUAUGAUGUGAGAAGUAGAAUAAUUGACCUCUCAGAAUUGUGUCCACCGUACAACUUUAUUCAAAAGAGCACCAAAUGCAUCAUCAUCUAUAAAGAUAUUGCUUUCUACUAUAGACACGCAAUAUCUAUAAAGAAAUUGCUAUCCACAACUGGCUGGAGAUAAAUUGGAUAUCAUCUAUGUUACCCGAAUUAUUUGAGCUAGUUCAAGGUUCAUCACCUGAAUAAACUGGUUCUCACUAACUUCGUCCCUAAAAAUCAAGAGAAUGGAAUUCUUAGAGAGGGUCAUGGUACCAGAAAAACAUUAGAGCCAUUGUCAAGUAUCAGAGUCUGUCUAUACGAGACGAUCACGCCAAUGCGCCGCGAGUAAUCAUCGAUAGACUACAGUGUCAUGCGGAGGAGGGAGCAAUUUAGACAUGUGUUGUUGGAGAUAGUCGUUCGCGCGAUCAAGAUCCAACUGUGAGAGAGGGGAGAGUGUGGAUAACCCUCAGAUCUUAAUUCAAUGGCUACGAUUCGUCAACUGAGAUUUAAUACAUUUUGCUCAAAAAUCAGCCGACGUAGAACACACCCAUAAGACGUGUAGCACAUGAUGCAACACGACGUGUUUCAAACCAGAUCACUAAUAACCAUCUUCUUCCCCACCCAGAACCCGUGGGACGGGCCGGGCUCCAUCCAUCUCUGCACUACACCGCAAAAGAAUCAACAAUUUCGCAAAGCUUAAGCAUGCGCGCACACAGACAAUCGGUCGAUCUCUCACUCACUCUCAAGCACGGCAUUCACCCCGUCGGCUGGGGAGGCCGCCAUGGCCAAGCAACUCGUAGACCGUACGUGUUCCGGAUCACCACUUUCUCCUCCGGCAGCCUCACCUCCAUCAUCCCGCCAUUACCGCCGCCGCUGAACACGAGCGUCACGGCCAGCCACGCCACCGUGGAGACGUUGUAGCAGGUGUUGAACCCGUCGAGCGACGAGACCGGAGCGGCGGACCUCAUCAUGCACGGUGGCGUAGGCGGGCGGGGUGAACAUGGUGCCGGAGUCGAGCACCGCGGUGAUGGCUUAUCUGCAACUCUGCAUUGAGCAAAAGUCUCAAAAUGUUGCACAUCAUUUGGUGCAACUUGCUCUCCCUGGCCAUGAAAGGGACAGAUCCAUCAGCUAGCUUAGCAUGUACAAACAGCUGCAACAGUACCUAAUCACAAGGUAAAAGUAUAGAGAGAGAGAGAAAGAACUGUAGCACUGCACAGCAUUGCUUUGCACUGGUCUUCAAAGGAAAAAAAGGCAAAGCUGCAAGUAACUAUUGCAUUGGCCUCGACGAUCCAUUGGUUCAAACCGGGCGGCAAAGUGGACGACGAGUGCUAACUUUCACCCACUUAUGUUCUGGGCCCCCAAAAAUAACAAGGACUAGUAGGAUACGUGCGCUUCGCUGUGCCGUUGGCACACUCAGUUCAAAGAACGUCAACUAACAAACAACCACAAACGGAGUAGCGGCCGCCUGAGUGUUCUUCGCGUAUCCAUCAGCGAGACCACUGGACUCCCUCGCUUCCGGUGGCCGUUUGGCUUGCUGGGCGUGCGGGAGACCCUGGAUCUGCGGCGCGGUGGAGUGUUUUUAGUCCUAUUUUUUAGGUUCAGGUGUCCUUUGACGGCCGGCAUGACGGAAGCGCCGGUUGUUGUCGGAAUAAUGUCCCUCCCGCGUCUUCUCCGUCGUGGUAGUGCCUUCUCUGGUGUUGUCACGUGGGGUGGUGUGCUAUGUUCUUCGUCAUUCUGGCGCUUCUGGAGACGGUGUCAUCGUCCUUCCUCCUUGUGCCGUCAUCAAGAUCCUGCCUCUUGCGGCGGGCUAAAAUAGAGGUGGCUCUCAAAGCUUCUCAGCGAUGGUGGUGUCUUAUUCGGUCAGGGCUUCUCCCUCUCCCUCGGUGACUGCGACGGUGAUGUUCGGCAAAGUUCUUGUAUCUUCUUUGUUUCCUCUGUAAUUUUGCUUACUAUGAUAUGAAUACAAGUUUGUUUGCCUCAAAAAAGAAAAAAUAGAACGUCAGUUGCAUAGUUUGUUUGUGCCACGCUGGCAAUAUAUACAACAAUCCUUAAGUUCCCUCCAUGUUCAUAAACGUUUGAUACAGAUUUACACAUAUCAUACAUUUGUGGAGGCCACAUGAUACAUUUGCCACGAACAAAUGAAUACAGAGAAAAUCUAUAAUGAGAUGCAACUUAUGGGACACUUAUAUCUCUACUUUAACAUUCAAGAUUUUGCAAUGAACAUAAAGGCUCAAGUUCAGUGCAUCAGUUUGCUCUAUACAUAUUUGCCUUUUGGAAGGGAAGCUCUCUGGUGUGUGUAGCAGUAUGGCUAAUAGCGUGUGGUUUUUCGCCAACUUCUUCUGGGCAUGUUGUCAAAUAAAUCAAAGCCACUGCAACGGUCUGGAGAUCCGUAACGAGAGCACACUGACCUUUCCCCUGAAUGAAUUCUUUUUGGUUUGAAACAAAAAAACCUCUUGGCACCUGGUUCAAUACCGUGUAACAGAAAUAUUGACAAAUUUUUGUUUAACAAUUGAUGAUCACAGUCGUUCUAGGCCAUACAAUUAAAUUGGUACUCCGUAUUUACGAUGGGAAACCUCACCUUUCCAAUAACCUUUUACUCGUGCUACAUGCAACACAUCAGAAGUGUCAGACAUCUCACAAUAACUUUCCUAAGGUUCAUGGUAUAUUCAUAUAUCAUUUUUUUGGUUCGAGUGUCUAAAUUUAAGAAACCACAGUUUGCACUCGGUGAUCUCUACUCCUACUUAUCAGUGUGCUUUACCAGGGAAAAAAAGUCCAAUACGACACUCGUGGUGACACUUCGGUCCAAUGGCUAACUGGCUAGCCUCUUAUGUAUGGAGGAUUUUUUUAGGCAUACCUACAAAAGUACAUCAAGCAUAAUCUACCAAUCCAACAUUAUUGAAGAGAAGUCACUAUAGUAAAAAUAUGAAAGAACAUGGAGGUACCAACAUUUUACGAUUUGCUACAAUACCAAUCUGUAUACAUACAUGCGAACAAGCUCACCUGUUGAUAUCUUCAGUUCCAUUAUGUGUACGGUCCUGUAGGGGGCUUUCUGGUCACUUGAGUUCUCAAUAUCCUGUAGAGACCUGACAAAGCAUUAUGGCAUGGUUGGUUGGUCUCGCUGCCUGCACCAAUAAGAAAGCUAAUGCAUAAUUUGUAUUAUUCAGAUCAUAUAUGCAGGAACCUUGGGAUAGCUUCUCUAUACUCAGUCAGUAACCAGAGCAGCAAAUGAGUAUCAAAUAUAGAACACUGGCCAUAACUAAUCAUCAUCCAUUUUCAAUUGACAACAUCUGUCCCCAGAGUAGUCACUCAAUUGGUAAUAACAAAAGCUUUGACUAACUUAUGAACAAAUUUAGAAAGAAACCGAAGGAAUCAAUAUCUACAACAAUGGGACUGCAACGAAAUUAUAGACAUCAGAACACUGUGUCAAAGCUGAACAUGACAUUUUUGUCCCGCUCAGCCUAACCCAGGUAUUCAUCAACACAUCAGGGAAAAGGCAUGACUCAAAUGAGGGAAAAACUUAUUCCAAGAAAAUCAUAGGGAUCUCCCGUUGAGAAUGAAUCUACAACAAAAGGAAAAGUAAAUAGAGAAAUUGUUGCUUACUUUAUUUGUUCCUGGUUCCUUUCAUAAUAAUAAGUACGAGCUUACCAUGUAGUUGUGCAGGGGAUAUUGAAGCAUGUUGAUGUUCAUUCGAUCAGAAGGCCAAGAGCAUGCAUUAUUUUGACAAAAUUCAAUAACGUGGAUCAGAAUACAACUGAACAUAUCACAAGCAAGUCCGCAUGAAUAUUUAUUUGUGUGCCUCAUAUGACAUAGCUGAAGGCAGAAGAGUGUCCAAACUUGAGAAAAAAAGACCCAAAGCCCAGUUUCUGAAGCAGGCCUUGUCACCAUUACAGUUCCUCUCUUUGUGGCUCAGCGUUCGGAAUCACACACACACCAUCAAAUUGGGCAUACAUGCAUUUAAAAAGGUGCCAAAUCUGGGUAGGAAAAUCGAAGACAAUGGCUACUCUCAGUUCUCUCUCUUUUAAAAAAAAAAGUAAUUAGCACCUUAGCAUUGCAUAAUAUGAGUUCUACACUCCAGCAUCUGCCUAUAGAGAACUGAAUGGACAUGACAAACUGACAACACGCUAUAAUAACUAAAAGAGGGCGAUCUCUCUUGAAUGAAAAUUCAACGAAUUUGCCAUUAAAAUGACAUGUCUAUCAGUACAAAAUAAAUUAUUCAACUUAAUGCACUUAUACUUGUGUUUGUCUAUGUCAGUGGGUGCAUGGCAAAUAAAAGAGUCAAGACUUCCUAACGAACACUAAAUAGAUAUCUCUGAGGACAUAUCACACAAAAGCUCCAGCCCUAAAUAUGCAUAAGAACAUUGCAUAGUUCUAGAUAAGCUGAAAGAACUAAAUUUGUGCAAUCCACAGAUUUGGGGAAAAGAUGUUGCUUAAGAUAAGAAACUAAAGAGAGAAUUAAUGCCAUAAUUCUGAAAUUCUGAAAUUCUGAAAUAAUUUAAAAAAUUAAGGCCGAACCAUUCAACCUUCUUCUCCUUUCUUAAUCCUCUAUCAUUAAGUACUGCCAGCCUUAUCCUAUCAAAGUAUGGAAAAUGUUAGCGAAGAAAACUGGGAGCAGCAAUAUUUUUGAAGGAAUAUGACUUCUCAGAUGCAAAGGGCGGCCGGCUGGAAUCUGACAUUGCCCGAAUCAUGCAAUCUGACGCUCGAGUUCAUAAAGGACCUUCUGUGAACUCAUAGAGGACUCAGCCUAAGCAUAAGAAUUCAUGAUAGUGACUUCUACAAAGCUGGACAUUGGGCCAAAGAGUCCAACCUCCUUGUAAGAUGCUGACUGUCCAUCAGUAUAGAUCCAAUUAUUCUUUUUCCGGAAUUAUUAGCACCUUGUAGAAUGUCAUUCAGCCAGAUGGAGACCCUGAGAGAGGCUCAUUACAAGACUAUAUUCAGAACACAGAUAUAGCACAGCAACUAUGUCAAAACAAACUGAAUAUGCAACAAAAUCACUUCCAAGCUCCAAUUUCUCUAUACAUUGAUGGUCGGCAUAGUGUCACCGAAUAGAUUUCCUAGAGAGAACCAUCUAGCACACAAGUCUUUCUAACCUAUACCCCUUUUGUUCAGUAAAUUAGAGACUUGCACAAGUGAAGUAUUCCCAAACAAGCUGGCUAUGUAGAUCAAUUUGUAUUCUUAUUUAUUUUUAUUGCAAAGUUGCAUUUCAUAACCCAGUCUGCUGGAUUGAGAUCCUUGCGUUUUAAAUAGGAUGUCAGUUCUCAACUUUAAAGGUCCAAAUUAAUCAAAUGCCACAGUAUCCAAGGAUACUAGAGUAGGAUUUGGUUAUACAGGUGCUCGUUCCCACAAAUUGAUAAGUCAGCUAGAUGAAUUAAACUAACAAAGUAGGGACAGGUACCUACCUUAGACGACAGAAGACUCAUCGUGUGCUGCAGAACAAUCAUGAAGUAAGCACUAACCAGACAAAAAAAUAGAACUAUGAAUUAAACUAACACAGUAGGGGGCAGGUACGAUUUGGACGAUAGAAGACUCAUCCUGUGCUGAAGAACAAUCAAUGGAGUUAUUACACAGCUCAGGUAUUACAAAUCAAUGACCAUUGAAACAAACCUUAGUUCCAAGCCGUUUGUUAUGGCUUCUUUCUACAUAUUAGCGGCAUAAUCUAGUUGAAGCUUGACCCACACAGUCAUAACAGAUGUACUCAAUCACAAGAUUUAAGCUACUGCAGUACGUAGCAAAUAAAUCCUGGAAGAGUGCAUACUCGGGCCUUGUAGGGAAUGCUUGAACUGCAAAUAAAUUUGAUACUACAGUUUAUAGAUAUACAAAUAUUUAAUCAAAGAACUAAAAGUUGUCUCUCGUGUGAGGUGAAAGAUCAUUUGUCUGAACCAGUUUAUAGAUAUAAAAAUAUUUAAUCAAACCCAAGAAACAGAACCGCCGAAGGAGACCAGGAGAGGAAGGAAGCUGCGAACCACACAACCCAAUGCAAUCCCGCCCCGCCGCAGCUCCGCAGAAAAAUCACAAGCAACAAGGCUGUGCUUCGCUGGAGACGGUAACGCAGAGCAUCUAGGAACCCCCACCGGAAUCCCCACCCAACCGCCCCGCUAGAGAGCAGCAAGCGGUGGCUCCGCGGAUCCCCCGAAGACGGCAACCCCGAGCACGAGCCGCUACGGCGCUACCGAGAAUAAAAGGGAAACCCGACGGGAAGAAACAAGCUACAAGAACAGGAACGAAAUCGAAAAAACAUUAACUCCAAACUUCACCUCCGCACCUGCCGGCCGCCCAGCCACAGAAAGAAGCGAUAUGUGAAAUCUCGACCACCACAGCUAACAGAAUCAAAAUCCACCGGGCAGCCACGUAUCGAAACCGCCGCUAAAUCCAACCACCACGGAGAGAACGACCAAAUCAAGCGCAGAUCGAGCAGGAGAAGAAACCCAUCCACCAGAUCGACACACAACAAAACACCGCCGCCAAAUCCUCCACGGGCAGACCAGAGCACCGCUGCCAAAACCUCCUGCGAACACGCCCCGGCCACGAGACACAAACUCCGAUAUAAUCCGCGAUGUAAGAUGUUGCAUGCAACCGGCCGAUUAUAUAGCGGCAGAUCCUUCCUAUCGACCAAGGGAGAAGGAUAGCAACCUUACAGCGCACAAGCCCGAGGACACUCGUCGGGCGUGCAUGCCUGACCACGCACCUACGGCUACAGUAACUGGCGGUGGCAUUCUGGCCGUAAUUAUAUUAGUAGUCAUGAUAGCGACCUGCAAGUUCCUGACAGGCCGAACAAUCCUUCGGCUUUAGGAUUUGGAUGUUACAAGGAGGACGGAUGCUUCGACUCACUUGCGGGUUUGAAUUUAGAGCAUCUCCAUAAUACAUGUCGCUAUUAAGAGUGUGCCAUUUAAGACUUUUGAUGAUGUGAAAAGAAAAAGACAUAAAAAGUGAAAUGGUGUUACUAGUAUAAGAAACUGCUUUGUCUCUUGUACCGAGACAUAAGUAACAACAAAAUGCUUGCUGAAAAGAUCUCUUGUUACUAAAACCUUACUUUGUGGAUCCCAUCCUUUCACAUUCAUCUAUUUUUUUUCAAUCUUAGUAUUAGAUCUUAAUAACCAUCUAUUAGAGAUGUUGUUACUAGUGCAAGAUAAAAUAUGCACUCUCUUCUUAGUAAUGGCCUAAGUAUUACCUUGUUGAAGAUGCCCUAAUGGGCUUGUGCCAUUACUGAGUGUUCCAGGUUUGGGGGCUAUUUGGAUUGAACUCCAAUGAGCCUUGCUAAAAAAUUGGCAUGAUCAAAUUGAGGGCAUGGCCAAAAUGUUGGUAAGUUGUAGUUGUUUGGAUUGCAGGGGCCGUUUGGAUUGAGCCCUGCUAAAAAAUUGGCAUGACCAAAUUCAGAGCAUGGCCAAAAUGUGUUGUUUAGAUUGUAACCAUUGUACAUACCAAUUUUUUUUUCAAAAAUCACAUGUUUCUCUUUGGUUUAUACCCAAAUUUAUGGGUAUUGUUUAGAUAUUAAUUUACAAUAGCCAGGAAAAGGAAUUUGCUACCCGCAAAAAAAUGAAAAAGGAAUUUGCUUUGCAGUUUGGAAAAAAUACCGAAGAGAAAAAUAGGAUAUGAAUCAAUCAAGUUCUGUAUCGGCGAGUGCAUGCGAUUUGUGAACACAAACAACGAUUUGAUACCAAUCAGGCCCGUCGUCCCAUUUUCGAGCACAGGCGCUACUGCCGGCCGCCGCCGUCGCAACUCGCAAGGCUGUCCCCCGUCGCCUCCCUCUUUCCCCCGCACCCACGCCGCUGCCUGCUCCGGCGAGCGCCUCGCCGUUGCAUUUUCCUCAGGUCGCCCAUGACCAUCCCAAUCCAUCACCGGCAACCAUCUCCACCACUGAGAAGAACAGAAACUGAAAAGGCAUGGUUUAGUGAAACCAGAAAUCGCAACGAGUUUGCAGGGGCUUUGGCUGCCAAAUUUUUGGCGAAGGAAUCGAGCGCCGUUGUCUCGCCCACGAAUUGGCGAAAAAAGCACGGGCGCUCUCGGGCUGGUCUCGGCUCGCAAAUUUGUUGGUCGCCAUCCAAGUGCUAGCCGAAUGCUGCGGGCGCAUCAAUUGUUUGGCAAGGCCAGCUUUGGCCACGAAGCAAACGUACCCUUGGUUCCGGGCUUCCAGCAUGCAGACACACGAGGCCAGAAAAUACUUCAAUCUUGGGCCAGCGGUUUCUCGGAAUCCCAGUCCACAACGUUCCGUGGCCAUGCAGAGAGCCAGAGACGCAGCCCACUUUGUCAAACAUCGUGUGAGACUUAGCUGGGCAAACCCCGGGCCGGGCCGAUCUUUAUAAAAGCCCGACGGUCAAACACGAAGCCUGAGCCUGGCCCGGCCCAACCCGAAACACCGAAAAUAGGCCAUUUAAACAUUAAAAUAAUUAUUUUCGGAAUAACUAAAUGAUUUUUUAUACCUAUUUUUCGUAAAAAUACCCAUUUUUAGUCAUUUCGGGCUUUCAGGCCGGGCUUGGGACUGGAAAGGGAGGCCCAAGCCCGGCCCGGGACGUCGAGCCUCAGGCCGGGCCAGCCGGGUAUACUCUCUCCAUUUCACAAAGGUUGGCGUAUUUUAUUUCGUUAAGACAAGUUUUUGAUCAAGAAUUACUUUAUUAACAUGUAACUUAUAUGAUACGAAAUCAUAAUCAUUAGUAAGAACUUUUAAAAACGAAUCCAUUAAUAUAAAUUUCAUGUAUGAAAAAACACAUAUCAAUAGAGUUUUUUUAUCAAAAUUUUGUCUUAACGAAAUAAAUUACGCCAACCGAGAUAGCACGUGAGAUUGAGCAACGGAUUACCUUUGCUGGCUGGAUUGUACAUUUGUAUUCCCUCCGUUUCUUUUUGUUAGACGCAUAUAAUUCUGCACGCAUACCCACGCAAGGCUCUGACUUUAAUCUAGUAGAGUAAACAGCACCACGUACACACGCGGAAGCAUCUUCCAAACGAGCAAACCCAACCCCAACCCCUCACGAGAUUAGAAUAUCUUUUUGCAGAAAGAACAUCUUUUAAAAAAAAAUUUGCAGAAAGAAUAUCAAAGCACUUAAGCACACACAUGGACACGAUCGAGUCAUCGAUCUCUCGGCGGCGCGCGGGCGAACCGGACACGGGCAUUGGGCACGUCGAAGAACACGCGGUGGUUCUGCUUCGGUUUUUUUUUUUUUCAGGGGAAGGUUCUGCUUCGGUGGAUCUGCUACUCUUUCUUUCUUUUUAAAGCUCCCGAUCAGGUUCAGCCGGAAGCGGCCCGUAAACUCCGCCCGCUAAAAAGACAUUUUUUGGCUCAUGCGGCCCAACGCUUUAAAUUUGAUGGGCUAUAUUUACACACUUGUACCCGCCCACGAUUGCCGCCUCGAGCGAAUCACCUCGAGCGAACGAGAGAGCCGUGGCCAGUCCAAAAGGGUGCCUUUUUGCACUCACGAGCACCACACAGUUCUGAUGGUCCUUCGGCAGAAGGCACACACAACUACCAGGAGACUUUCCCAAAAAAAAAACUAUUACAUUGCUAAUAGUAAUCAGUACGAAACGCAUCACAAAUUUCCUAAGAAGAAUUCACGGAGUGCGAUCGAUGCUCUUGGCAUGAUAGUGUUUCUUGGGCAUCGAGGAUUCGAUGAAGACCAAAUUAAGACAGUGCUCGAAAACUCGAAACCGUAGGCGAGGAGUCCAGGUGCACUCCCAAUUCGUACGCGCGUUGGCCUACCAACAAAUACGUGGACUGUACCGUCAACCUGUGAGUAAAUCGACCGAGAUCGAAACGCCACGGCUACAAGUGCAUGCAGCAGGAAAUCAGCAAACAUGAGCGUCCUCUCCCGGCUCCUCCUCCACGGCUACAAGCGUCCGCCGCCCCCGCCGCUGGUUCGCUGCUACCACCAGCGAGCCCCUGCGCCACCGCCGACUCAGACUCACCUCGGCGCCGGUGGCCGCCGCGGGUGGCGUCACGAGCCACGGAAGGCCGCCGCGACGGACCUUGUCGCCUACUCAUCCAUGUUCCUCCUGCCGUACGCCAUGACGCCCCUUCCUCUCCGUAGGAUGAGCUACGAGAGGUCGUGCCCUACACGAACCGCGUGCACCGUGUCUACCUCGACCCCUCAGAGGAGCGCGACUGCGGCGACUCGUGCUUCGAUGACAUCAAGAAGGAGAGCAGGGAAGAUAUCCUUACAUAAGGUUAUCCAAAAUUAAUUUCCGAUAUUCUCAAAGCUUCACGAUCAGAAGUUGACCAUCAUUGGUCAAAACAACCUGCUCUCCAAAGGCAACCCAGUAGAGUCGCGGGCAAACUCUACAUCUCCUAGAAGGGGUGUUUUUAGUUCACCUCAUGCUUGAUGAAAAGAUGAUAAUACUUUUGUCUCGAUGGUCAAAUCUUUAUUUUCUAGGGUACCAAACCAAAGGUACUCUUUUUUUCAUUAGUGGUGCUUCCUUUAACAUGAUUGUGAUGCUAUAAUACUCAGCCAUGAUCAUGCUUACGUAAAAAUAUCUGCAAAUGUUUGGUAUCUAUUGAAUGACUGCAAGAGAGAGUAAGUUCCAACUUCAUGCCAGCUGUCUUAUAAUGCAAUUCAGUAUCUUCGUAUGACAGGGAUUAUCAUGAUAUGGUGGAUUUAAUAUAAAGAUGGGUGAAGAAAUAUUUAUCCACAGCUUUAGCCAACUCGCUAAAAUUGUUGCUAGAGGACUGAGAAGCGCAGGGAGACUACAGGCUCUGGGCCCUUUUUCCUUUCCGGUUGUUGUGAUACCAGAGGCGAUCCGGUUUCCGCUUUUUCAAAAAUGGAUGAAAACUGCUGCUGAGCUACAUGCAUGUUCCGGCACCCAUCCCAGAUGAGUUCACCAUGCACUUUAACUCCUGGUUUGAUUCCAGUACGGCCUUUGCUGCUGUCAAGGGAUUUAAUAUGACAAUGUUAAUGGAGCAAACGGGGGCAACAAUUAUAUAUUCUCUUAAUCGAUAUAUACUAAAACUACGCCAAAACAUAAUGGCUAUGGAUAAACAAUCUUAAUAUGGUUUCUUUUAUUACUUGGUGCAACAAUGUUAAUCAAGUUCCUUUUAUUACUUUGCUGCAACAAUUCAUACUCCUAUUAUAUUUAUAAUACUUCUUGUACAUUGCCAAGGGGCAACCAUCCAAACACUUACACAUAUAAAUAUGCCUAUUCUAGAAUACUCUACACAAUAAUCUUUGUUCUAGAUUCUAAUUUUACCAUGAAGAGUUGUGUGUCUUCCAUGUUAAAUAAUAUCCCUCUUCAUGCAACCUCUCAAACCUUCUAGAAUAUUUCAAUGUUCUCAUAUUCACCAUAAGGAUCCUUGUAAUAUCUUACUCCUCCAAUAAUCCAAAGUAUUCUAGACACUUCUCUAAUUUUGAACACUCCCCCAAUUAUUCAAAAAAAAUUUAGAAUAUUCUCGAGUAUGCAUUACUAAUUCUCAACAGGAGGCUACCCAUAUCUCCGUAGGGAUGUCAGCAAUUGUAAUGAUGUAUCAAGUGUUUUCAGCCGAGAUGAAAAUGAUGGACCAUGUAGAGUAGAUGAUCGUCAGCGUCCUGCUGAUAUUGGUACCAUCUCUACUAACCUCUUCUGGGAUUAGCCUCAUGGCUUCAACUAGUGACCUUGGCCUCAUGCCUUCAACGAAAAAUUGUAUCAAAACGUCAAAUAAAAUGUUGAUGUGUUUCAUGAGCACAUAUGUAUAUAACGAUUAUGAUAUGUUUAUUUUCGUAGGCUAUACUCUGGUCUCUUUCUCUUUUGCACAUGUCUUAUUUCUAUAUCCCGUGUAAAAGGAAGUGACACAUGCUCAAGUCUUUUGCUCGCUACCUCCAGGUUAUCACUAUUCUCACAUGCACCACAUUUCAAAAAUCAUGUGUGAGCGUUUUUUAACUUUUUUGCUAAAUUCAUGAAUUGAUUCUCAAUAUAAUCAUGAAUAAUGAAGAACAUGCAGCAAUGAUAACGUUUAUCACUUCCAUCCGUCCAAGCCGCUCGACCUUCUGUGUGGUGAUGAUUUAAACAUCAUGUAUCGGUAUAUCGAUCAAUAUCAGCAAGCAACGGCAGCCAUCACAUAAAGCAAGCGGCAAUAUAAAUUUUUGCUUAAUGGAUCCUUGCCAUGCUCUCCUAUUACUCCUAUUCCGUACUUUAUUUCUCAAAUCCCCUCUCUCAAUUUUCUCGCUCUCCCUCCGACCAUCCACUCUGAGUGCAAACUCCUCUCACCGUCCCGAUUCAUCCCGCCACCGAACAUCGCGCCGCCAUACGCGGCCGCCCGCUUGUGCGCACCGCCUCCGCUCGUAGAUUCCCACCGCCCGUCCACUCCCGAGCGCACCUACUCCCACUUGCCGCCUGGUACACCUGUGCGCUGCCCGCCUACGUCCUCUCGCAGCCUUGUCCGCCAGUUCGCCGCACCCGCGCGCCGCGCACACACCGUGUCCAGCCACAGCCCCCCCCCCUCGCCAUCCCGGCCUCUGGCUCAUCCCAUCGCCGUCCAAGUCCCGCAGGGAGCCACUAGCGCGCAUGACCCGGUGGAGGCGGCGGUCGGGGCGCGCGACGGAGCUGCGGGUCCGCAGCCGCCUUUCACACACGGCCGCAGCCGACGCGCACGAGCUGGUGGAAGCGACCAAGAGCGGCUGCGGGCGCUGGCGAGAUCCGGAUUGGGUAGGGGUGGUGGUGAGAUUCGUACGAGAGGAGGAGGAGCGAGGAGGUCUCUGUUGGUUUCUUUUUCUUUUUUGGGUGGUACGUGGUUUUUCUGAACCGCGGGAGCCGGGAUUAAAAGACAUGUGGGCACAACGGUGGUAGAUUCAUAAUUUCGGUGAACUGACGUACCACGACGUCCGUACCAUCACCACCAACUCCAAUUUAAUAUAUUGUUUUCGGUGAAGUGACGUACUGCGACGUCCGUACCACCACCACCAACUCCAAUUUAAUAUAUUGUUAUAGAUGUUAUAGAUAUAUGCAAUAUCUAUACCAAUAUAUUAAAUUGGAGCAAAUAUCUAUACCAAUAUAUUAAAUUCGAGUUGGUGGUGAUGAUACGGUCGCAACCGUACGUCACUUCACCAAAAUUACGAAUUUGCCACCGCUGUCACCACUUUUAAUGCAGAAGCGUUUUUUUUUAUCCGAUUGAUUCUAACCACCGCUGUACGUCCUCGAUACUUUCCGCACGACCCUCUCACGUGGGCACGCGGCCCGACCCCUGUCCCCUCUCCGUCUCGCACUUAUCCCCUCGAUCCAUCAUCCCCGAACUCUUCUUUCUCGCACCGCUCGAUCCGCCUCCUCCAUGAAGUCCAACUCCUCCCUUCAUGGACCAAGGACGCCGAGCCCCUGCCCCCUUCCCUCUUCAUCUAUCUGGACAGCUGGCUGUAGUAUGUGGAGGAGAUCGACGGUGUGUUCCGGCAGAGGCGGGGCGAGUCGCGAGCGAGGUAGGUGAAGCUCGGCGGCGGCGCUGCUGUGUGAAGACGGAGGCGUGACGGCAGUGCUGCAGAAGAUCGGGAGAGACGGGUGGCGUCGACGACUAGGUGGAGGCGUAGGACGACACGCUGCCAGUUGCGGAGCGCCUGGGUCCCGUUGACGGCCAGAUCCCAGUGACAAGGAUCCGCGUGGGGAAGACAACAGUGCCGCUAGCUCCUUCGUGCGCCCUCCGUCCGGCCUGCGUCGUCAAGAUCCUCCGGGGCGCCCGCUCCUCGGCGGGCCGGUCGGGCGCCUCCUUAGCUGGUCGUCGGCGCGCCGCGGCUGCGGAUCCGAUGCGCGGUGGCGGAGAUGGGCAUGGCGGUAGAGUGGGCGCCUUCCUCCAGCGACGCCGCAACAACAGAUGCUCCCGGGCGGGCGUUCUGGCGCUGCUACUACCAACGCUUUUCUCUAUUUUUUCUUUAUUUUUGCUGAAAUCUUGGCCUAAUUGAUGAUACAUGCAGACCCUGCUUUCUAAAUUUAAUUAGGACAUGGAUCUGCUCUGAAAAUUCCAUUAAUUUAAUUCCCGUCCGUUUAUGAUUUAGUUUUACCAUUUUUCAGGAUCUAUGUUUUGGCCCGAUUGGACUUGAUCAUAUGACUAAUUGAUGAUGUGCUGGAUCCUUGAUUUUCCUUAAAGAUCAUGGUUGCAACAGGCCCAAUAUAUGUGGCAUGGCAUCGCAGAGAUGCGUGAUAGAGCGAAGGGAGAGCAGCAUCUCGUCGGGGCUAACAUAAUUUUCAUAUGGUCUACCGACUGAAUUAACGUUUUUUCGAUCAGAAAUUUUGGUAACUGUUAAAGUUGCUCUCAAUACGUAGCUACGUGCAAAAGACACCACUUUUGAAAACUUAAGAUAGCAUGUUUUUCAAAAAAAUUCUUCCGUAGCAACGCACGUGGCUUUUUGCUAGCCUAUAAAGAAAUUGCUAUCCACUUAGUAGAGGCCGGCCCAGUACGUGUGUGAUACAAGUACGAGACGUACGUACGUACGUACGAUGACACUCGUGAUCACGCCUUAGAUCGAACACAUGCAAUUAUGCAAACACGGGCUAGCUGGCCAAUAUAAUGACGAGUAUACGAACACUCAAAACCUUAGGCGAGUAGUCCGGGUGCACUCCCAAUUGGCACGUGCGUGCGUGCGUCGGCCAACAAAUACGUGGACCGUACCGUCAAAAAAUCGACCCGUCGAAACGCCGCGGCUACAAAGUGCAUGCAGCAGGAAAUCAGCAAACAUGAGCGUCCUCUCGUGGCUCCUCCUCCGCGGCUACAAGCGUCCGCCGCCGCCGCCGCUGGCUCGCUGCUACCACCAGCGAGCCCCUGCGCUGCCGCCGACUCAGACUCACCUCGCCCGUGGCCGCCGUGGGUGGCGCCACGAGCCACGGAAGGCGGCCGCGGCAGGCCUUGUCGCCUACUCAUCCAUGUUCCUCCUGCCGUACGCCGUGACGCUCCUUCCUCUCCGUAGGGUGAGCUGCGAGGAGGUCGUGCCCUACACGAACCGCGUGCACCGUGUCUACCUCGACUCCUUAGAGGAGCGCGACUACGGCGACUCGUGCUUCGAUGGCAUCAAGAAGGAGCGCGGAGAGGCCGGAUCACAUCCUUGGACCCUCUGACCCUAGGUCCCUAGCACCGUCCGCGUCCGUCGGAUCGCCGAUGAUAUCAUCCGCGGGAUUCAUCUAAUUCUCCCCAACAGCCCUAGCAGUGACGAGGAUAAACCGGGACCGCAAACGCCGGAUCUCAGCGAGCUCGACUGGGAGGUGAUCGUCGUCAGAGACAAACGUGCCAACGCGUACUGUAGGCCUGGCGGCAAGAUCAUAGUCAAUACUGGAUUCCUCGAAUGUUUAGCCACCGAUGCCGAGAUUGUUACGAUUCUUGCACACGAGGUAGUACGGUUUUUCUUAUUUAUUGGCCGGACGGCGGAAGCUUUUGGGUCACAAGUCAUCCAUGCAUGCGUUGUUUUUGUUUGUAGGUCGGACACGCCGUCGCAAGGCAUUGCUUGGAACUGCACGAGGUCGCCUUUGUCACUAUACUACCGCACUUUACUUUAGCAUCUCGCAUAGUAUGUUGCAUUCUAAAAAUGAACAGUCAACUAUCUUACUAGUUAAUUAGCCAAGCCAGCCCAGUUUAUGUCGUCCACUCAUAUAAAUAUCGUUUGGAUAGAAGAUGAUGGUCAAAGUACAAUCUCAUCUUGAAGAGAAGGGGCUAUGGCCUAAAAAUUCUUACAUUUUAAAUUAAGGAGAUCUAUGUGCUCCCAAUUUAUGUCGUCCACUCAUAUAUUGUAGGAGCGAGGUAGAGGCGGAUCAGAUCGGAAUCAUGCUACUUGCUGCCGCGGGUUUCGAUCCACGCGUAGCGCCCGGGGUCUACCAGAAGCUAGGAGAGAUCAAAGGAAACUCGGCAUGGAACGAUUACGCGGGGUCCCAUCCUUCGGGUACGACAAGAUCUCGGCUUUUAUACAAAGCAAGGCGAUGAAGGACGCAGUGGAACUGUACCGCAGAAAGUCGGCGCUAGGGGAGGCUCCAACUGACGUUUUGCUUUGGUGGAAUUCAUAGACUCACCUAUUCCGAGUACACGCAAUGGGACAUCCAAUCCACGAAAUAAUUUGAUCCAUGGACGGCACCGUUGCGGUAAAGAUCGUAAUUCCAGAGGAAUCAUUACCGCAAGGCAUAGAGGGGGAGGUCAUAAACACCUAUACCGUAAAAUCGAUUUUCGACGGAAUCAAAAAGUCUUAGUUCAUAGUAACUUUGUCAUUGAAUUUUGUAGAUUUGUGCCCAUCGGAUUUCUUUUACCAAUAUACAUGUGGUUGGUUGGCUACAUAUAUGGUCUUGUUGCCGGAGCGGUGAGCUAACAUUACAAUUUUAAAACAUCGAGAGUAUUAGGGUUUCGAGGGAAACCGCACGACACACAUUGGGCCGGUAUUUGUAUUUAUAGUUUUAUAUUAGAGGGAUUACAUCGGUAACAAUAUAUAGGUUUACUAGCAAAAGAUCCGUGUGUUGCUACGGAACAACGAGAAAUGUUUUAAGUUUGACGUUUCAUGAACAUACAUGCCAAGAACGAUUAUCAUGUGUUUAUCUGCCGUGAGGCUAUGAUCUGUUAACUGUCCACCCCAUCUCUUUGACUCUCUCCCUCUUGGCAUACGACCACGAACAGAGAAGGCACGCUGAUUGACAAACCGAUCCUGCCCAUAAAUUCUUCGUUUGCCAUCCUUUGUUCUCCUCUUCAAUCAGGUCAUUUUGUGGAGAAACUUUGCUCCUCAACAAUGGCCUUGUUGCUCAUGGUCCCGAUGAUUAACAAUAUGUAGCGAGACAAAAGUAUUCUUGUGAAUCAAAAUAAUCACCAUGACAGAUUGCUAAUCACCACAAAACAGAUCACUAAAGUAGAACAACAAACUUAUUUUUUCUGAAAGAAAUCCUGCAAAUCGGAUGGACCUUUAAGAGAUAAAGGCACCACUCUAGCUAGACUAUAACAGAGUAAUCCCUAUAUCAGAUUGUUUCAAUGAAGCGAAGCCAAAAUUGAAGUAGAGAGAUUACUAAUCACUGAAGCGCAAACCAAUACAACAAUUUGUAACAUACAAGUCAUUGCAAAAGAAAUAUUCCUUUCAACCAAAAUAGUUCCAUUCACAUAGAAUUGGAAGAUGAAUCUCUUGGCUUGCUAUCUUCUCCCUUCUGGUUGCAUAUGCUUGUUGGCCAAACGCAAUAUGCUUCCCUCCACUCUAUAGUUAGCGACGGUGACUGUCAUCUAAUAUGUAAUUAAAGUAACAUAAAUUAUUUCUUUGGUUCUUGCGGCGCGGGGUCACUCUAACUAAAGACAACCUGCUAAAGCGAAAUUGGAAGGGUAGCUCAAAUUAAGUGCAGUUUCUGUCAUGAGGAUGAGACUAUUGUACACCUCUUUUUUGGGUGUCAUGUCUCUUGAUUUGUAUGGUCAAUAGUUCAAAUAGUUUCUAAUCUUUUUUUCCCUCGUGAUGUUUCUCAUAUGUUUGGGUCUUAGUUACGAGGGGUUAAUAAUAGAUUGAAAGCACUUAUUUUGGUUGGGGUUGCAGCUUUAUGUUAGGCAAUUUGGCUAUGCAGAAAUGAUCAUGUUUUCAAUUGCAAAAAAAUAACUUCUCCUAUGCAUGUAUUAUAUUCAUACACAAUUUGGCUCCGUACUUGGUCUAUGCUACUCAAGGCAGCGGAUCGCCAACUGGUUUUGAUGGCGUGCAGCAAGUUAGAGCAAGUGGUCAGGGACAUUUCAGCCAUCAUGGGUGGCGGUCUAGUCACCGGAUUAAAUCUGCUUAUAGUCGUUAUAUUUCUUUUGAUGUAAUAAGUUUGUGGUGUGUUACUUUGGCUGUGUGCGUCUCGGCGCAGAGACCAGAGGUGUGAUACUCUUUGGUUGUAUCGCUCGAUAUAACGUUGAGAUCAAUAUAAAUUUUCAUUUUCGAAAAAGUAACAGAAAUUAUAUGAUCAUGUGACAAUCCAGAUGCCUGACCCUCAAUCUGCAAGUGGUUCGCAAGUCCUCCACCGUCGCCCAGCACAAGCCGUGCCCGUCGACCCAUUCCCCAAACCAAACGAUAUAAGGGUUUAUGCCCCCGCCUUGUCCCUUAUUUAUCUUGUGCAAUGAUAUCGUAAUAUGUUAUGAUUUAAGCACAUGGCUAAUCGCUAUUAAGGUGUCGAGCAGCCCCACUCCCCUGUCUCAGUCCCUGCAUCAGUUUAUCUUCCAGUGUUUCAUCCAAUUGGGCUUCCCUCUGGUGGCCCUAGAGCAGAUUUGUGUGUCUGUCCCCCUGCAUCAGGUGUGUUAUUUUAGAGUAGUUCCAGCAUGUACUGUAUCAUGAAGUCCAUCUUUGUAUGCGAUGAGUUGGAGAAAAUUAGGUACUGAUCCGCUAUACAUACAUAUCUAUUAUAACACAUAACUUCGUCUACAGCUGGCAAAAGAAAAGAGAGCCACGUGCUAAACUUCACAUAAUUUUGCCCCAUACCCUCCCUAAAAUGCUGUACAAAAUUUUCAGAACCUCAACAAGUCCUGUACUACAUCCAGAUCUCCAAAAUUGGAAUUUUGACGAGAUUUUCAGACCGACAAACUCCUUUCCUAAGUUAGUUUCAUCAUGGUAGCAAAAUUUCAUUAUUUCGUUAUCUGUUUUUCACAACAUCUAUGUGUGUUGCUUUGAUGAAUUUAUACCAUGCUGUAACCUAUAGUGUCCUAAGCUUUUUAUUUUAUCUUUCAAUGAUGCAUAGUCAUUUAUCAACAAUAUUUCAUAUAUCUGUAAUAUCUAUGAAUUUUCGAUGCAUCAACCACUUUUUUUAUAAACGAUGCAUUAACCGCUUUAGUUACCUGCCUACUAAGCAUCUACACUCUAAAACUGGUUUGCUGUAGUCAUAACUACAAAGCAUUUGUUGUUUACAGAGCAUGUAUACUCUGAGACUGCUUUUCUGCAUCCAGGACCAUCAGGCAUUCCAUACAGCUGCGUCCAAGAUGGCCACGCUUGAGCAUGUUACGGGUGUCAAGCCAGUCGACAGCAAGCAAGCAACCAAAUAAACACUUUAUGUUUCAUCAUGCACUUAGUCUUCCAGAGCUUCUUCAUGACAGAAUGAUCCAGCAGAGAAGCAAAGUAGUGCUGAUAAAAACAUCAAGAAUUAGAGAAAAAUUACAGCCACAUUUGGGUGCGUCCACGGUUUCGGCGGAAUUGUUACGGACGAAUUCCUCGUCAACAAAGGCCUUCGUGACCUCCUCGGUGACAAUGGAGGGCUCCCAGUUCACCAAUGAAGAAUUAAUCAAAGUUUAAGCCCACACGCACAGUCCAGACAAUUAAGUCGAUCGAUCUCUCACUCACUCUCAGGCGAAGGCGGCGGUGCAGCGCUCGCGGGCGAAUCCGACACGAGCGUUGGGCACGUCGAAGAGCACGCGGUGGUUCUGCUGCUGCAGGCUCCCGAUGACGUUGAGCGCCGCGUUGACCCCGUCGGCCGGGGACGCCGCCAUGGCCAGGCAGCUCGUCGACCCGUACGUGCUCCGGAUCACCACGUUCUCCUCCGGCAGCCUCACCUCCAUCCCGCCGCCGAACACGAGCGUCACGGCCGGCCACGCCACCGUGGAGACGUUGUAGCAGGUGUCGAACCCGCCGAGCGAGGACACGGAGACCGAGGCCCCGCCGCCGCCGCGGCGGCGGAGGCUACCGGCGACGCGGCGGCGGACCUCGUCGCGCACGGCGGCGUAGGCGGGCUGGGCGAGGCGGGCGAACAUGGUGCCGGAGUCGAGCACGGUGCCGGCGCCCGUGGCCGCGUCGAACGCCAGCGCGGACGGCGGGAUCGGGACGCUCUUCUUCCCGAUGCGGACGCCCGUCAUGGCCACGUAGUACAGCGACGGGCGGUGCGGACUGGCGAGCAGCGGCGUCGUCUUCAUCUUCUCCGGCGCCGGCUGGCCCUUGCGGCCGAGGGUGAGGGAGCCGGAGAAGUUGGCGGCGGACCUAUAGUAGCUCGGGAGGCAGUAGGAGAAGGUCCCCUCGUAGAUCCCCUUUGUCUGGGCCACGAAGCCUAGCGGGCCUCGGCCCAGCC